RNAcentral lists this transfer RNA (69 nucleotides) under Dibamus novaeguineae. Its description in RNAcentral is "tRNA-Val". It matches the Rfam family "tRNA". Rfam says of the family: Transfer RNA (tRNA) molecules are approximately 80 nucleotides in length. Their secondary structure includes four short double-helical elements and three loops (D, anti-codon, and T loops). Lineage: Eukaryota; Metazoa; Chordata; Lepidosauria; Squamata; Dibamidae. The record is from RNAcentral.
CGAAAAGUAGCUUAACAAAAGCACUCUACUUACAAUUGAGUUAUGUUAGUUUGACCCUAACCUUUUUCA